UUGUUAUGUCCCUUAACACAGAAAAGAAUCGAUUAAGACAUGGAGGUAUUGUUUUGGUAAGUAUUCAGUGGCAGAACUUAUGCUUGUUAUGUCCCUUAACAUAUACCAUUAUUAUGUAACUACAUCCUAUGUGUGUAAUACUUAGUUUACCUUUUUAUUACUCAAAAUGAAUCCAGACAUGUUGCUUGCAAGUUCACUUUAAAGCCAACGUGCAUUAUAUUUUAUGCCCUUACACCCGCACACACAAUCAUGCCAUACCCACACCCAUACACACUCACGAUACAUACACCACACAUACACCCCACACCCCAACAUCCACACACACUCACAGUCACACCCACCACGCACACACACCCAAAAACCUACAACCACCACACUCACUCACCCCCCCCCCCCCCCCCCCCCUCCCCUUUUUUUUUUUUUUUUUUGUUUUUUUAUUCGUUUUGCUUCAUAAGUCAUAACUCUAUUCAUUUUCCCCUCAGAUUUGUUUUUUAUGGAGCUAAAGCUUUCAUUUUUUUUAUUGUUGUACAAUUUUUUCACAAUAUAUAAUAUUUGUUGUAACACUAUAAUCAAGUUUUUUUUUAUACAUUUCUUGUUGUUUUGUAUCAUCAUAUGUUUGAUGUAUUGUUUCCAGCUUCUUAC
This 642-nucleotide long non-coding RNA is filed under the name Lupinus mutabilis. RNAcentral describes it as "partial ncRNA". The record is from RNAcentral. Lineage: Eukaryota; Viridiplantae; Streptophyta; Magnoliopsida; Fabales; Fabaceae.